CAGCAGCCGCGGUAAUACGAAGGGGGCUAGCGUUACUCGGAAUUACUGGGCGUAAAGGGCGCGUAGGCGGCGCUCCAAGUUAGGCGUGAAAGUCCUGGGCUCAACCUGGGAACUGCGCUUAAGACUGGAGUGCUUGAGGAUGGAAGAGGGUUGUGGAAUUCCCAGUGUAGAGGUGAAAUUCGUAGAUAUUGGGAAGAACACCGGUGGCGAAGGCGGCAACCUGGUCCAUUACUGACGCUGAGGCGCGACAGCGUGGGGAGCAAACAGGAUUAGAUACCCGAGUAGUCCCUGUCUCUUAUAC
RNAcentral lists this ribosomal RNA (301 nucleotides) under uncultured bacterium. Its description in RNAcentral is "partial 16S ribosomal RNA". It matches the Rfam family "Bacterial small subunit ribosomal RNA", at positions 509 to 807 of the family's 1533-position model. The record is from RNAcentral.